This 72-nucleotide transfer RNA is filed under the name Calditrichota bacterium. RNAcentral describes it as "Calditrichaeota bacterium tRNA-Glu". It matches the Rfam family "tRNA". Rfam says of the family: Transfer RNA (tRNA) molecules are approximately 80 nucleotides in length. The record is from RNAcentral. Lineage: Bacteria; Pseudomonadati; Calditrichota.
GGCCCCUUCGUCUAGUGGUUAGGACUCAGGACUUUCAUUCCUGCAACAGGGGUUCGAGCCCCCUAGGGGUCA